Molecule: long non-coding RNA, 669 nt
Organism: Aegilops tauschii subsp. strangulata
Lineage: Eukaryota; Viridiplantae; Streptophyta; Magnoliopsida; Poales; Poaceae
Source: RefSeq, a predicted model, not a curated record
AUUCCAGUAACUCUUAUAAUAGUAGUUUGACUAUGCAUAUAGAUACAAAGGAUGACAACACUAACAUUGGAUCCUCCAUCAUUUUCUUUCUGAAAUGAAGAUGCUCCGAGAUUAGAUAGUGCCUCUAUAUAAUACCACAAUAAGGACUCAAAUAGAACGAGCAACAUCAACCUCAAGGAAUAUCUUGCAAGGGAGGAAAAGAAAAAUAGGCACCCACACUUCUGAUGGCGCUUAUCAAGAACAACACAAAUGCCCUGUGCUUGCUAAUUCUUCUGAUGUCUACCACUUUGUUUCCAUGCGAGGCAACUGGGAGAAACAAAGGUACAACUGCAUUGAUUGAUGUGUGCAAACCUGACCGGUUAUGCGAGAACCCGAUAGGAUACAAUGUUACCUUGUGUAAGGUUUCAUGCGAAUGGUCUGGCUAUAGUUUCGACAACAGCUACUGUGAAAAGGGUAAUUGCUGCUGCGCAUCCUAAGGGAUUAAGCGAGGUGCCAAAAUGCCAUGCUUGGAAGAUAUGGUGAAUUUCAAUAAACAAUAAAAGUUAGUUUUGGCACGACUGUGCAACUUCAUGUUCAUCAAUAUGAAUGCUAUCCAAGUUAUUUUGAUAUCAAAAACUGUGUUUCAAAUGUCGCCAAGGAAAUUGGGGUCGACUAAUUUCUGUGUCACUC